RNAcentral lists this ribosomal RNA (443 nucleotides) under uncultured bacterium. RNAcentral describes it as "partial 16S ribosomal RNA". It matches the Rfam family "Bacterial small subunit ribosomal RNA", at positions 338 to 795 of the family's 1533-position model. The record is from RNAcentral.
CCUACGGGAGGCUGCAGUGGGGAAUAUUGGGCAAUGGGCGCAAGCCUGACCCAGCAACGCCGCGUGAAGGAAGAAGGCUUUCGGGUUGUAAACUUCUUUUCUCAGGGACGAAGCAAGUGACGGUACCGGAGGAAUAAGCAACGGCUAACUACGGGCCAGCAGCCGCGGGAAUACGUAGGUGGCAAGCGUUAGCCGGAUUUACUGGGUGUAAAGGGCGUGUAGGCGGGACUGCAAGUCAGAUGUGAAAACCACGGGCUCAACCGGUGGCCUGCAUUUGAAACGGUAGUUCUUGAGUACUGGAGAGGCAGCCGGAAUUCCUAGUGUAGCGGUGAAAUGCGUAGAUAUUAGGAGGACCCCCAGUGGCGAAGGCGGUCUGCUGGACAGCAACUGACGCUGAGGCGCGAACGCGUGGGGAGCAAACAGGAUUAGAUACCCCUGUAGUC